Molecule: ribosomal RNA, 775 nt
Filed under: Escherichia coli
Lineage: Bacteria; Pseudomonadati; Pseudomonadota; Gammaproteobacteria; Enterobacterales; Enterobacteriaceae
Description: partial 23S ribosomal RNA
Rfam family: Bacterial large subunit ribosomal RNA
Source: RNAcentral
UUCGUCACACUAUCAUUAACUGAAUCCAUAGGUUAAUGAGGCGAACCGGGGGAACUGAAACAUCUAAGUACCCCGAGGAAAAGAAAUCAACCGAGAUUCCCCCAGUAGCGGCGAGCGAACGGGGAGGAGCCCAGAGCCUGAAUCAGUGUGUGUGUUAGUGGAAGCGUCUGGAAAGGCGCGCGAUACAGGGUGACAGCCCCGUACACAAAAAUGCACAUACUGUGAGCUCGAUGAGUAGGGCGGGACACGUGGUAUCCUGUCUGAAUAUGGGGGGACCAUCCUCCAAGGCUAAAUACUCCUGACUGACCGAUAGUGAACCAGUACCGUGAGGGAAAGGCGAAAAGAACCCCGGCGAGGGGAGUGAAAAAGAACCUGAAACCGUGUACGUACAAGCAGUGGGAGCCUCUUUAUGGGGUGACUGCGUACCUUUUGUAUAAUGGGUCAGCGACUUAUAUUCUGUAGCAAGGUUAACCGAAUAGGGGAGCCGAAGGGAAACCGAGUCUUAACUGGGCGUUAAGUUGCAGGGUAUAGACCCGAAACCCGGUGAUCUAGCCAUGGGCAGGUUGAAGGUUGGGUAACACUAACUGGAGGACCGAACCGACUAAUGUUGAAAAAUUAGCGGAUGACUUGUGGCUGGGGGUGAAAGGCCAAUCAAACCGGGAGAUAGCUGGUUCUCCCCGAAAGCUAUUUAGGUAGCGCCUCGUGAAUUCAUCUCCGGGGGUAGAGCACUGUUUCGGCAAGGGGGUCAUCCCGACUUACCAACCCGAUGCAAACU